RNA transcript from Eucalyptus grandis, 1781 nucleotides. It is a transcript of the gene named AAA-ATPase At2g46620, with no coding region annotated. Lineage: Eukaryota; Viridiplantae; Streptophyta; Magnoliopsida; Myrtales; Myrtaceae. The record is from RefSeq and is a predicted model, not a curated record. The transcript has a single exon.
AAGCCUCCUCCCUCUCUCCCCAUCUUCAACCCCAAAUCGCCACCUGUUCGUCAAUCCCAGCCUCGCCCGUGGAGUUUCUGCAACUGUAAAACCAGUCGAAAAUCGUCAUCGUCAUCGACCCAUCACUCGCCCAGCCAUGAUGGGCUCCGGCAACGGGCUCGCCCUCCUCCUCGCCGCCGCCCUCCCCGCCCUCUUCCUCCUCCGCCUCCUCUACAGGACCUCGCUCCUGCACAAACUGGCGGCGCUCCUCCGAUCGGUGGAGGACCGGUGCCACGCGUACCAGCACUACCGGAUCCCCCAGUACAGCGAGCACCUCCAGGAGAACCAGCUCUACCGCAAGGUCUCCACCUACCUCAGCUCCCUCGCCUCCCUCGACGGCUCCGACUUCACCAACCUCUUCUCCGGCGCCCGCUCCAACGACGUCGUCCUCCGCCUCGACCCCGACCGGCCCGUCGCCGACCGGUUCCUCAGCGCCCCGCUCUCGUGGGCCAACGAGGCCGGCGGGCCCGAGCGGCGGGCCUUCGUGCUGAAGAUCAGGAAGCGGACCGCCGCCGCGUCCUCCAGCCUUACCUGCAGCACAUCUUCCAGGUCUCCGACGAGAUCGAGCAGAAGAAGAACGAGGUGCGGCUGUUCAUGAACCUCGACGGGGGCGAGCGGCCCGGGGAGGGCGGCCCGCGGUGGCUGUCGGUACCGUUCACCCACCCGGCGACGAUCGACACCGUCGUGAUGGAUCCGGAGCUGAAGGGCAAGGUGAAGUCGGACCUCGAGAGCUUCCUCAAGUCGAAGCAGUACUACCACCGGCUCGGCCGCGUCUGGAAGCGGAGCUACCUCCUGCACGGCGCGUCCGGCACCGGGAAGUCGAGCUUCGCGGCGGCGGUGGCGAAGUUCCUCGAGUACGACAUCUACGACGUCGACCUCUCCCGGGUCGCCGACGACUCCGACCUGAAGGCCCUCCUCCUCCAGACGACGCCCCGGUCGGUGAUCGUCGUCGAGGACCUCGACCGCUUCCUGGAGAGAAAUCCACGGCCGUGAGCCUUUCCGGCGUGCUGAGCUUCAUGGACGGGAUCGUGUCCUGCUGCGGCGAGGAGCGGGUGAUGGUCUUCACCAUGAACGACAAGGAUCGGAUCGAUCAGGCGGUGACGAGGCCCGGUCGCAUAGACGUCCACGUGCACUUCCCCUUGUGCGAUUUCUCCGCCUUCAAGGGCCUGGCGAGCAAUUACUUGGGACUCAAGGAGCACAAGCUGUUCCCGCAGGUGGAGGAGAUCUUCCAGGCCGGGGCGAGGCUGAGCCCGGCCCACAUCGGCGAGAUCAUGAUCGCGAACCGGUCCUCCCCGACCCGGGCCCUGAAGACCGUGAUCGGCGCCCUGCAGAGCAGCAGUGAAGGGCGGGAGGUCCUGAGCAAAAAUGGGGCUACAUUGACCGGUAGCCGGUCCGGGGGGAGGCUGCCGAGCCCGCUUCAGUCUUUUGUAGGGAGAGCGUCCACACGGUUAGGGAGUUCGGGAAGCUGUAUGGGCUUUUGAAGAUGGGCAGCCGGAGGAGAGACAAUUCCAUGGACUUAAGUUCGGGCGAGAGAAGGAGGGGGUCGAAGCAUGAAGCCCAGAGUUGAGGCCAUUCGGAAUUGUUCAUUCGACUAGAAACGGGUUAACCUCGAGAUUAACAUCGAUGUAUAACUAGGAAAUUUAAUGCUUAUUUCUUAUUUUUCGCCAGAGGAAUCAUAAGUGAAAUUGCUUGAUCUUUGUAUAGUCAUGGCAAUGAAAACCGUUUGUUUUCUUCUUCGGCGC